GCAAGUCGAACGGCAGCACGGGUGCUUGCACCUGGUGGCGAGUGGCCAAUGGGUGAGUAAUAUAUCGGAACGUACCUUAUCGUGGGGGAUAACGCAGCGAAAGCUGCGCUAAUACCGCAUACGCCCUGAGGGGGAAAGCGGGGGACCGUAAGGCCUCGCGCGAUUAGAGCGGCCGAUAUCUGAUUAGCUUGUUGGUGGGGUAAAAGCCCACCAAGGCGACGAUCAGUAGCUGGUCUGAGAGGACGAUCAGCCACACUGGGACUGAGACACGGCCCAGACUCCUACGGGAGGCAGCAGUGGGGAAUUUUGGACAAUGGGGGCAACCCUGAUCCAGCAAUGCCGCGUGAGUGAAGAAGGCCUUCGGGUUGUAAAGCUCUUUUGUCAGGGAAGAAACAGCAGCUCCAACACAGUCUGCGAAUGACGGUACCUGAAGAAUAAGCACCGGCUAACUACGUGCCAGCAGCCGCGGUAAUACGUAGGGUGCAAGCGUUAAUCGGAAUUACUGGGCGUAAAGCGUGCGCAGGCGGUUAUACAAGACAGGCGUGAAAUCCCCGGGCUUAACCUGGGAAUGGCGUCUGUGACUGUAUGACUAGAGUGUGUCAGAGGGGGGUAGGAUUCCACGUGUAGCAGUGAAAUGCGUAGAUAUGUGGAGGAAUACCAAUGGCGAAGGCAGCCCCCUGGGAUAACACUGACGCUCAUGCACGAAAGCGUGGGGAGCAAACAGGAUUAGAUACCCUGGUAGUCCACGCCCUAAACGAUGCCGACUAGUUGUUGGGAAUUUACAUUCUCAGUAACGUAGCUAACGCGUGAAGUCGGCCGCCUGGGGAGUACGGUCGCAAGAUUAAAACUCAAAGGAAUUGACGGGGACCCGCACAAGCGGUGGAUGAUGUGGAUUAAUUCGAUGCAACGCGAAAAACCUUACCUACCCUUGACAUGUCACUAA
RNAcentral lists this ribosomal RNA (943 nucleotides) under uncultured Burkholderiaceae bacterium. Its description in RNAcentral is "bacterial SSU rRNA". It matches the Rfam family "Bacterial small subunit ribosomal RNA", at positions 57 to 995 of the family's 1533-position model. The record is from RNAcentral. Lineage: Bacteria; Pseudomonadati; Pseudomonadota; Betaproteobacteria; Burkholderiales; Burkholderiaceae.